GCGGAUGUGGCGGAACUGGCAGACGCGCUAGAUUCAGGUUCUAGUGGUAGCAAUACCGUGUGGGUUCAAGUCCCUUCAUCCGCACCA
This 87-nucleotide transfer RNA is filed under the name Clostridia bacterium. Its description in RNAcentral is "tRNA-Leu". It matches the Rfam family "tRNA". Rfam says of the family: Transfer RNA (tRNA) molecules are approximately 80 nucleotides in length. RNAcentral also lists the same sequence under 1 other name. Lineage: Bacteria; Bacillati; Bacillota; Clostridia. The record is from RNAcentral.